UUAAUUUGCUAGAAUAAAGGUGCUCUAAGUGACGCUUAAAAACUUAGAGUGAAAAGGGAAAUAGGUGUAAAUCCUGUACUGUACCCGCAGCUGUAAGUAAAGAGAAAAUACUUCAUUUUUAACCACUUUGGUAGAUGAUAAAGGGAAGGUGGAAGUAUUGAAUUUUACAAGUCAGAAGACCUGCCUUUAUCUGCUCGUUAUU
Molecule: non-coding RNA, 202 nt
Filed under: Flammeovirga sp. SJP92
Lineage: Bacteria; Pseudomonadati; Bacteroidota; Cytophagia; Cytophagales; Flammeovirgaceae
Also listed under: 1 other name
Source: RNAcentral